ACUUGAAUAGCUUAUAUUAGAGCUUGACAUUGAAGAUGUUACGGAGAUUUUUAUCUUCGAGUG
This 63-nucleotide transfer RNA is filed under the name Cryptocercus matilei. Its description in RNAcentral is "tRNA-Phe". Lineage: Eukaryota; Metazoa; Arthropoda; Insecta; Blattodea; Cryptocercidae. The record is from RNAcentral.